RNAcentral lists this transfer RNA (68 nucleotides) under Myxococcales bacterium. Its description in RNAcentral is "tRNA-Met". It matches the Rfam family "tRNA". Rfam says of the family: Transfer RNA (tRNA) molecules are approximately 80 nucleotides in length. Lineage: Bacteria; Pseudomonadati; Myxococcota; Myxococcia; Myxococcales. The record is from RNAcentral. RNAcentral also lists the same sequence under 1 other name.
UGCAGCGACCUCAGGGAGGGCGCGCGGCUCAUACCCGUGCGAGCCGGGUUCGAUCCCCGGCGCUGCAA